This 406-nucleotide ribosomal RNA is filed under the name uncultured bacterium. RNAcentral describes it as "partial 16S ribosomal RNA". It matches the Rfam family "Bacterial small subunit ribosomal RNA", at positions 29 to 526 of the family's 1533-position model. The record is from RNAcentral.
AUUGAACGCUGGCGGCAGGCCUAACACAUGCAAGUCGAACGAGUGGCGGACGGGUUAGUAAUGUCUGGGAAACUGCCUGAUGGAGGGGGAUAACUACUGGAAACGGAAGCUAAUACCGCAUACCAUCAGAUGUGCCCAGAUGGGAUUAGCUAGUAGGUGGGGUAACGGCGCACCUAGGCGACGAGCCCUAGCUGGUCUGAGAGGAUGACCAGCCACGCUGGGACUGGGACACGGUCCAGACUCCUACGGGAGGCAGCAGUGGGGAAUAUUGCACCAUGGGCGCAAGCCGGAUGCAGCCAUGCCGCGUGUAGGAAGAAGGCCUUCGGGUUGUAAAGUACUUUCAGCGGGGAGGCGUUACCCGCACAAGAAGCACAGGCUAACUCCGUGCCAGCAGCCGCGGUAAUUC